UUAUGAAUAUGGUACCCUUUCAACUGUGAAUUGUGAAAUUGAAGUUUGGGAUAUCUUUUACUGUCUUAACUAUUGAUUACUAACUUAAGUUGGAAUAAGCAAAGUAAAGUAUUGGGUCAUCUAGGAGGAUCAAUUGUGCUUAUACUUGGCGGGCGUAUUCCCGAUUCCAUUGGUCUAUUUCUGUAGUUGUUGCUCUUGUGUUCUGUUUCAUGUAAAA
RNAcentral lists this unclassified non-coding RNA (217 nucleotides) under Hevea brasiliensis (rubber tree). Lineage: Eukaryota; Viridiplantae; Streptophyta; Magnoliopsida; Malpighiales; Euphorbiaceae. The record is from RNAcentral.